RNAcentral lists this transfer RNA (76 nucleotides) under Candidatus Giovannonibacteria bacterium RIFCSPHIGHO2_02_42_15. RNAcentral's name for it is "tRNA-Arg". It matches the Rfam family "tRNA". From Rfam's summary of the family: Transfer RNA (tRNA) molecules are approximately 80 nucleotides in length. Lineage: Bacteria; Candidatus Giovannoniibacteriota. The record is from RNAcentral.
GCCCUCGUAGUUCAACGGAUCAGAACAGCCCCGUCCUAAGGGGUAGAUAGAGGUUCGAUUCCUCUCGAGGGCACCA